Molecule: ribosomal RNA, 1359 nt
Filed under: uncultured bacterium
Lineage: Bacteria
Description: bacterial SSU rRNA
Rfam family: Bacterial small subunit ribosomal RNA
Source: RNAcentral
GAUGAACGCUAGCUACAGGCUUAACACAUGCAAGUCGAGGGGCGGCAUUUUAGUUUGCUUGCAAACUAAAGAUGGCGACCGGCGCACGGGUGAGUAACACGUAUCCAACCUGCCGAUAACUCGGGGAUAGCCUUUCGAAAGAAAGAUUAAUAUCCGAUGGUAUAUUAAAACCGCAUGGUUUUACUAUUAAAGAAUUUCGGUUAUCGAUGGGGAUGCGUUCCAUUAGUUUGUUGGCGGGGUAACGGCCCACCAAGACUACGAUGGAUAGGGGUUCUGAGAGGAAGGUCCCCCACAUUGGAACUGAGACACGGUCCAAACUCCUACGGGAGGCAGCAGUGAGGAAUAUUGGUCAAUGGACGAGAGUCUGAACCAGCCAAGUAGCGUGAAGGAUGACUGCCCUAUGGGUUGUAAACUUCUUUUAUAUGGGAAUAAAGUAUUCCACGUGUGGGAUUUUGUAUGUACCAUAUGAAUAAGGAUCGGCUAACUCCGUGCCAGCAGCCGCGGUAAUACGGAGGAUCCGAGCGUUAUCCGGAUUUAUUGGGUUUAAAGGGAGCGUAGGUGGAUUGUUAAGUCAGUUGUGAAAGUUUGCGGCUCAACCGUAAAAUUGCAGUUGAAACUGGCAGUCUUGAGUACAGUAGAGGUGGGCGGAAUUCGUGGUGUAGCGGUGAAAUGCUUAGAUAUCACGAAGAACUCCGAUUGCGAAGGCAGCUCACUAGACUGCAACUGACACUGAUGCUCGAAAGUGUGGGUAUCAAACAGGAUUAGAUACCCUGGUAGUCCACACAGUAAACGAUGAAUACUCGCUGUUUGCGAUAUACAGUAAGCGGCCAAGCGAAAGCAUUAAGUAUUCCACCUGGGGAGUACGCCGGCAACGGUGAAACUCAAAGGAAUUGACGGGGGCCCGCACAAGCGGAGGAACAUGUGGUUUAAUUCGAUGAUACGCGAGGAACCUUACCCGGGCUUAAAUUGCAUUUGGAUAAUCUGGAAACAGGUUAGCCGCAAGGCAAAUGUGAAGGUGCUGCAUGGUUGUCGUCAGCUCGUGCCGUGAGGUGUCGGCUUAAGUGCCAUAACGAGCGCAACCCUUAUCUUUAGUUACUAACAGGUCAUGCUGAGGACUCUAGAGAGACUGCCGUCGUAAGAUGUGAGGAAGGUGGGGAUGACGUCAAAUCAGCACGGCCCUUACGUCCGGGGCUACACACGUGUUACAAUGGGGGGUACAGAAGGCAGCUACCUGGCGACAGGAUGCUAAUCCCAAAAACCUCUCUCAGUUCGGAUCGAAGUCUGCAACCCGACUUCGUGAAGCUGGAUUCGCUAGUAAUCGCGCAUCAGCCAUGGCGCGGUGAAUACGUUCCCGGGCCU